Molecule: unclassified non-coding RNA, 246 nt
Filed under: Hevea brasiliensis (rubber tree)
Lineage: Eukaryota; Viridiplantae; Streptophyta; Magnoliopsida; Malpighiales; Euphorbiaceae
Source: RNAcentral
CGCGUGUUGGCGCUUGACACAUGAUCAUUGCCUUCAAGUCGAGCCUUUUAAUUUUUUAAGCAAUGGAUAUAAAAUGAGUUGAGAAACAAAUUGCCCAUGUCGCAUUUUCGCUUCGAGGACCUAAGAUUCCUCUCCUUGUUCUGUUUACCAUGCAGGAUCCACAAACUAUAUGCAAAUUGCAGCAAUAAGAUCAUUUAAAGCUUAGGGAAUAACCUUACUACUAUAAUUGAGCAUUUUGAACCAACA